This is a long non-coding RNA of Parus major (Great Tit), 416 nucleotides long. RefSeq lists it as uncharacterized. The transcript has 2 exons. The record is from RefSeq and is a predicted model, not a curated record. Lineage: Eukaryota; Metazoa; Chordata; Aves; Passeriformes; Paridae.
AUCAAAAUUCCCCUGACAUUCACUGUUGCUUCAUUCCUGAGAAUUAUUUAAUGCUUCCUUCGUGCAUAUGGAUGGAUACCACCUCACCAACAAAACACUGACUUAAAAAAAGACUUAGAACAUGACAAAUGAGCAGCACAGAAUGUGGAAAAGUUAGCAGCUGCUGCUGGUCUACUGUGACACACCAAACAGUACCUGAACCACACUUGGCAGAAGGGGAACAAAACUGCACUUACUUCAGCUUGCUGAUCCUGGCUUCUGCAGUUUCAGUGAGUUUUUUUGUUUCUUCUUUCCACCGGUUUGUUGCUUUUUGCUGAGCUACUAAGAGACGUCUGAGCUCAGCAGUGGAUUUGUGACUGGUGUCCUCCAUCUCCUUGAGUCGAGCUUCAUAGCCAUGCUCUUUCACUGCAUGCUCA